This 512-nucleotide ribosomal RNA is filed under the name uncultured stichotrichid. Its description in RNAcentral is "SSU rRNA". It matches the Rfam family "Eukaryotic small subunit ribosomal RNA", at positions 46 to 565 of the family's 1831-position model. The record is from RNAcentral. Lineage: Eukaryota; Ciliophora; Spirotrichea; Stichotrichida.
UAGCCAUGCANGUCUAGUAUAAAUGUUAUACAGUGAAACUGCGAAUGGCUCAUUAAAACAGUUAUAGUUUAUUUGAUAAUCGAAUUUUACAUGGAUAACCGUGGUAAUUCUAGAGCUAAUACAUGCUGGUUAGCCUGACUUCUAGGAAGGGCUGUAUUUAUUAGAUAACAAACCAAUAUUCCUCGUGUCUAUUGUGAUGACUCAUAAUAACUGAUCGAAUCGCAUGGGCCUUGCCCGCGAUACAUCAUUCAAGUUUCUGCCCCAUCAGCUUUCGAUGGUAGUGUAUUGGACUACCAUGGCUUUAACGGGUAACGGAGGAUUAGGGUUCGAUUCCGGAGAGGGAGCCUGAGAAACGGCUACCACAUCUAAGGAAGGCAGCAGGCGCGUAAAUUACCCAAUCCUGACUCAGGGAGGUAGUGACAAGAAAUAACGGACCGAGGCUUUUUGCUUCGGGAUUGCAAUGAGUAGAAUUUAAACCCCUUUACGAGGAUCAAUUGGAGGGCAAGUCUGGU